AGGUCAGUCCUAAUAAUAACAAGGAAUGAACAUGAGAGUCUCUGCUCAUUUCCUGAGGCUGAUGAUACUUUUGCUUCCAAGUGGCAGAUGUGCCAUCCAGGUUACCCAGUCUCCAACCUCCCUGUCUGCAUCUCUGGGAGACAGAGUCACACUCACUUGCAGAGCAAGUCAGGAUAUUAACAACAAGAUGGCUUGGUACCAGCAGAAACCAGGGGAAGUCCCACAGCUCCUGAUCUAUUAUGCAUCCACUUUGCAAUCAGGAACUCCAUCCAGGUUUAGUGGCAGUGGGGCAGGGACAGAUUUUUCCUUUACCAUCAGUCACCUGCAGUCUGAAGAUUUUGCAACUUACUACUGUCUGCAAGGAUAUAGUUUGUACCACAGUGAUACACAUAAUGACAAAAACUGCUCAUAG
Non-coding RNA from Rattus norvegicus (Norway rat), 412 nucleotides. NCBI's taxonomy places the organism in Eukaryota, Metazoa, Chordata, Mammalia, Rodentia, Muridae. The record is from the annotation of a RefSeq genome assembly.